This 449-nucleotide ribosomal RNA is filed under the name uncultured bacterium. RNAcentral's name for it is "partial 16S ribosomal RNA". It matches the Rfam family "Bacterial small subunit ribosomal RNA", at positions 29 to 523 of the family's 1533-position model. The record is from RNAcentral.
AACGAACGCUGGCGGCAUGCCUAACACAUGCAAGUCGAACGAGAUCUUCGGGUCUAGUGGCGCGCGGGUGCGUAACGCGUGGGAAUCUGCCCUUUGGUUCGGAAUAACAGUUGGAAACGACUGCUAAUACCGGAUGAUGACGAAAGUCCAAAGAUUUAUCGCCAGAGGAUGAGCCCGCGUAGGAUUAGCUAGUUGGUGUGGUAAAGGCGCACCAAGGCGACGAUCCUUAGCUGGUCUGAGAGGAUGAUCAGCCACACUGGGACUGAGACACGGCCCAGACUCCUACGGGAGGCAGCAGUGGGGAAUACUGGACAAUGGGCGAAAGCCUGAUCCAGCAAUGCCGCGUGAGUGAUGAAGGCCUUAGGGUUGUAAAGCUCUUUUACCCGGGAUGAUAAUGACAGUACCGGGAGAAUAAGCUCCGGCUAACUCCGUGCCAGCAGCCGCCGUAA